RNAcentral lists this ribosomal RNA (443 nucleotides) under uncultured bacterium. RNAcentral describes it as "partial 16S ribosomal RNA". It matches the Rfam family "Bacterial small subunit ribosomal RNA", at positions 338 to 795 of the family's 1533-position model. The record is from RNAcentral.
CCUACGGGUGGCAGCAGUGGGGACUAUUGGGCAAUGGGCGCAAGCCUGACCCAGCAACGCCGCGUGAAGGAAGAAGGCUUUCGGGUUGUAAACUUCUUUUCUGAGGGACGAAGAAAGUGACGGUACCUCAGGAAUAAGCCACGGCUAACUACGUGCCAGCAGCCGCGGUAUUACGCAGGUUGCAAGCGUUAUCCGGAUUUAUUGGGUGUAAAGGGCGUGUAGGAGGGAACGCAAGUCAGAUGUGAAAACUCAGGGCUCAACCCUGAGCCUGCAUUUGAAACUGGUUGUCUUGAGUGCUGGAGAGGCAAUCGGAAUUCCGUGUGUAGCGGUGAAAUGCGUAGAUAUACGGAGGAACACCAGUGGCGAAGGCAGAUUGCUGGACAGUAACUGACGCUGAGGCGCGAAAGCGUGGGGAGCGAACAGGAUUAGAUACCCCUGUAGUC